UGGAAAACAGUAUUGUUUGUAUGAUUCUGAUCCUGGGACUGGAUCUGGCUGCUUCUCUGCUUCGAUUUUCCAAUCCUGAUUGUCUUAAUCGGCUUGGGGGUGGAAUUGCUGUAUUUCUAACAGAGUAGUGGGAAACAAUAUAGAACUAGAGUUGCAAGAACAAUAUGGCUGUCUCCAUGAGAGAUUUGGACCCAGCUUUCCAGGGGGCAGGUCAAAAGGCUGGGCUUGAAAUAUGGCGCAUUGAAAAUUUUAAUCCUGUUCCUGUUCCAAAGUCUUCUUAUGGAAGGUUCUUUACUGGUGACUCCUAUAUCGUUCUUAAGACAACCUCCUUAAAAAGUGGCACCUUGCGACAUGAUAUUCAUUACUGGCUUGGUAGGGAUACCACUCAGGAUGAAGCUGGUACUGCUGCCAUCAAAACAAUUGAACUAGAUGCAGCUCUAGGUGGACGUGCGGUACAAUACCGUGAGGUUCAAGGUCAUGAGACCGAGAAAUUCCUUUCCUGUUUUAAACCAUGUAUA
Molecule: unclassified non-coding RNA, 518 nt
Filed under: Hevea brasiliensis (rubber tree)
Lineage: Eukaryota; Viridiplantae; Streptophyta; Magnoliopsida; Malpighiales; Euphorbiaceae
Source: RNAcentral